Toxocara canis (dog roundworm) is the source of this 72-nucleotide transfer RNA. It matches the Rfam family "tRNA". Rfam says of the family: Transfer RNA (tRNA) molecules are approximately 80 nucleotides in length. The record is from Rfam. Lineage: Eukaryota; Metazoa; Nematoda; Chromadorea; Rhabditida; Toxocaridae.
AUGGCAGUAGCUUUGUGAUGGAGCCCCCGCUUCCUACGCGGGAAGACCUGGGUUCGAUUCCCGGCUGCUUUC